GAUGAAGAACGUAGCGAAAUGCGAUAAGUAAUGUGAAUUGCAGAAUCCAGUGAAUCAUCGAAUCUUUGAACGCACAUUGCGCCCGCGAGUAUUCUCGCGGGCAUGCCUGUCCGAGCGUCAUUUCAACCCUCAGGGCCCGCCUGCUUCGGCAGGCGCGGCGCUGGUGUUGGGGAUCGGCCUAACCGCCGUCCCCCAAAUACAGUGGCGGUCUCGCUGCAGCCUCCCCUGCGUAGUAGCAACACUCGCAUGCGGAGCGCGGCGCGGCCACGCCGUAAAACCCCCGACUUUCUGAACGUUGACCUCGGAUCAGGUAGGAAUACCCGCUGAACUUAAGCAUAUCAAUAAGCGGAGGA
RNAcentral lists this unclassified non-coding RNA (353 nucleotides) under soil metagenome. Its description in RNAcentral is "partial contains 5.8S ribosomal RNA, internal transcribed spacer 2, and large subunit ribosomal RNA". The stretch from base 1 to 120 matches the Rfam family "5.8S ribosomal RNA", at positions 35 to 154 of the family's 154-position model. The record is from RNAcentral.